Molecule: ribosomal RNA, 229 nt
Filed under: uncultured bacterium
Lineage: Bacteria
Description: partial 16S ribosomal RNA
Rfam family: Bacterial small subunit ribosomal RNA
Source: RNAcentral
CGGGUGAGUAACACGUGGAUAAUCUGCCUUUUAGUGGGGAAUACCGUUGGGAAACCGACGACAAUACCGCAUAAGCUCGAGAGAGGAAAGCUGUUCUGUAAAAGGAGCAGCGCUGAAAGAGGAGUCCGCGGCCGAUUAGCUUGUUGGUGGGGUAAUGGCCUACCAAGGCUGUGAUCGGUAGCCGGCCUGAGAGGGCACACGGCCACACUGGCACUGAAACACGGGCCAG